AACGAACGCUGGCGGCAUGCCUAACACAUGCAAGUCGAACGAGACCUUCGGGUCUUGUGGCGCACGGGUGCGUAACGCGUGGGAGCCUGCCCUUAGGUUCGGAAUAACUCCCCGAAAGGGGUGCUAAUACCGGAUAAUGUCUUCGGACCAAAGAUUUAUCGCCUUUGGAUGGGCCCGCGUUGGAUUAGCUAGUUGGUAGGGUAAAAGCCUACCAAGGCGACGAUCCAUAGCUGGUCUGAGAGGAUGAUCAGCCACACUGGGACUGAGACACGGCCCAGACUCCUACGGGAGGCAGCAGUGGGGAAUAUUGGACAAUGGGCGAAAGCCUGAUCCAGCAAUGCCGCGUGAGUGAUGAAGGCCUUAGGGUUGUAAAGCUCUUUUACCCGGGAUGAUAAUGACAGUACCGGGAGAAUAAGCGCCGGCUAACUCCGUG
Molecule: ribosomal RNA, 433 nt
Filed under: uncultured bacterium
Lineage: Bacteria
Description: partial 16S ribosomal RNA
Rfam family: Bacterial small subunit ribosomal RNA
Source: RNAcentral